AUUGAACGCUGGCGGAAUGCUUUACACAUGCAAGUCGAGCGGCAGCGCGGGGCAACCUGGCGGCGAGCGGCGAACGGGUGAGUAAUGCAUCGGAACAUGUCCAUGUCGUGGGGGAUAGCCCGGCGAAAGCCGGAUUAAUACCGCAUACGCCCGAGAGGGGAAAGUGGGGGACUCGCAAGGGCCUCACGCGAUUGGGUUGGCCGAUGUCCGAUUAGCUAGUUGGCGGGGAAGAGCCCACCAAGGCGAUGAUCGGUAGCUGGUCUGAGAGGAUGAUCAGCCACACUGGGACUGAGACACGGCCCAGACUCCUACGGGAGGCAGCAGUGGGAAUUUUGGACAAUGGGGCAACCCUGAUCCAGCCAUUCCGCGUGAGUGAAGAAGGCC
Molecule: ribosomal RNA, 384 nt
Filed under: uncultured bacterium
Lineage: Bacteria
Description: bacterial SSU rRNA
Rfam family: Bacterial small subunit ribosomal RNA
Source: RNAcentral